Molecule: ribosomal RNA, 486 nt
Filed under: uncultured bacterium
Lineage: Bacteria
Description: bacterial SSU rRNA
Rfam family: Bacterial small subunit ribosomal RNA
Source: RNAcentral
GUGGCGGCGUGCUUAACACAUGCAAGUCGAACAGAGUGACUUUGAUGAAGAUUCGUCUGAUUCAGGCUGUACACUUAGUGGCGGACGGGUGAGUAACGCGUGGGUAACCUGCCUCAUACAGGGGGGAUAGCAGCUGGAAACGGCUGAUAAAACCGCAUAAGCGCACACUAUCGCAUGAUAGAGUGUGAAAAACUCCGGUGGUAUGAGAUGGACCCGCGUCUGAUUAGCUCGUUGGUGAGGUAACGGCCCACCAAGGCGACGAUCAGUAGCCGGCCUGAGAGGGUGAACGGCCACAUUGGGACUGAGACACGGCCCAAACUCCUACGGGAGGCAGCAGUGGGGAAUAUUGCACAAUGGGGGAAACCCUGAAUGCAGCGACGCCGCGUGAAGGAUGACGUAUUUCGGUAUGUAAACUUCUAUCAGCAGGGAAGAACAAGUGACGGUACCUGACUAAGAAGCCCCGGCUAACUACGUGCCAGCCGCCGC